RNAcentral lists this unclassified non-coding RNA (309 nucleotides) under Hevea brasiliensis (rubber tree). Lineage: Eukaryota; Viridiplantae; Streptophyta; Magnoliopsida; Malpighiales; Euphorbiaceae. The record is from RNAcentral.
CGUGAAAGGUUUCGUUUGGAUGGGUGAGUUGUGCAAGUGUGUGAAUAAAUGUUAUAUUUUCAUCUAUACAUCUGUUGAAUGAUGAAGAUGCAUACUUGCCCUUCUUUUUCCCCUUUUGUAAUAUGUUCCCUAGAAUUAGGUGCUGAUUAGAAGUUAUUAAAGUUUUAUUUCUUAGAUUUAGGUACCACCAUGUGGUCAUGGAUUGAAUUCCCACAUAUGGCUCCAAAUGAUAAGUCUCUGAAAAUUCCCAGUCCUCUCCAGUGAUGAAUUCCUGCAAAAUAUGGAGAGAGGCCGUUUAGGUGGGUAUUG